Buteo japonicus is the source of this 1979-nucleotide long non-coding RNA. The record is from Ensembl. Lineage: Eukaryota; Metazoa; Chordata; Aves; Accipitriformes; Accipitridae.
AGGCACACCCUUGCAGAAGCCAGUUAUGAUCGCACAGUCUGAGUGGAGCAUAUUGCGUGAUCAGCAUCUCCCUGAACAAACAGUCUCUAUAGGUUUGAAAACAACUUCACCUAUACUACCUGAUCGCCCUGAAAGAAGCAACAAAACACCAACUGACAUUUUACCUCAGAUUUCUUUUUCUGGUUCCACUGAUACAAGAGGUCAAAUUUCAGAAUUGCCUGCAGAAGUAACAGAUAUUGGUUUUGGUAACCGCUGUGGAAAGCCCAGAGGACCAAGAGAGCCACCUUCAGAAUGGACAUGAUCCAAGAACCAAUGGACAUACUAUCAAUAAAUUAUACUGGAAAACUCAAGUGCCACUGAGAGCUAGAAAAAUAGUAUUCCACUUUUCUGGGAGGCAACUAACACAGAGCAGUGUAGAUCUAACUACCAAAUGGUACACUCUUACAGUACAUCCCAUGCAAAACUUUAAACAUUGUUCACAACAGUGGAUUCCAGUAUUACAACUUAACUUUUUGCUGGGGCCAUCUACCUGCCUUAUUACACUUAGGAGAAAGUAUUACAUAUGAUUUAUUUUGUAACUUCAAGUAUUAUUGCCUUAACGUCUUUUAACCCUGUUACACGCUGCUUGUAGACAUAUGUUAAUAUAGUAAUACUUUUGACAGAUUGUGUUUAUGGACUACUUUUUGCUAACGUUUGAUUACCAUGUAUGCAUUAUUUUGUAUAUGUACAGGGCAAGUAAGUAUAUAAUUUGAUAAAGUUGCAAUCAUAAAAUAUUAACAGAAGAUGUAAGAAAUCUCUGCAUGAUCUAAAUUUUUGUGUACCUUAUUUGUAAAUUAUUUGCCCUGAAGUUUUAGAAAAUAGUUUCUGGGGUUUUUUACAAAAAUUGCUGGACACAGACAGCCAGAAUUGCAGGUUAGCAGAGAUAAAGAUUGUAAUACAUUUUGUAAAUUGUAAGCAAAAGGUUAUUUUUAUAUUAUAUACUGUUUAAUUGUCAGACCUAAUUUGUUCUGGUUUUCAUCUAGUCAUGGAGAUUCAGUAAGUGCCUUGAAACAGUAUUGAAUUCUCUUAGCCUGUGUAUGUUACUUCAGUGUUUUGAGUUCAUCUGGAAUUAGAUUAUAAAAAAAUAUUUGUAUGUUUCUAGUAUAUUUGACCUGCCAGUAAAAGAGAAACCAUUCUACAUAAUCAACACUCCUUAGUUUUCAUUUUAAUGUUUCAUCAGUUGCAAUCUUUAGAAAAUUCAUCUCUAUCAACUUUCUGUAUAAUAGGAUUUUACAGUUUUAAUAUGGCGUGUUUCUAAUUUGGGAAAACCAGAACACACUGGUAAAAGGACUGUUUAAAUACCACUGUCUUCUCUUACAAAUGGUAAAUACCAUUUUUGUUGUUCAGCGACUGUGUAUGUAAGAAAGCAACUUAUAUGAAGGUUCACAUAGAGCCCUUGCAGCUACACUGUAUCUUGGCAAUAUAUUAUGUCAAGAGUCAAUCCUUAUAAGGAUUCCUUACUUAAACUUUUCUGUAAUACAAUCUUUAAAUUAAAGAAAGUCAAAAUCUCACUAUGGGUGUUUUUACUCUUAGGAAAAAAUCUGCAUUCAGAAGCAAACUAAAAUAGAGUGAAGGAUGGCAGUCUGGCUUAGCUUAUAGAUCUCCUACGUGAACAAAAUAGUGAACCUCAGGAUUUUAUUUUUAGAAACUACUUUAAAAGUUUUGGCUAGCAAUGAUACUGGAGAAGUGAAGAAGAAUGUUUAGAGGAAAAAAAAUUAUUUUAGUGAAACUAUUAAUCUGAUCUUUAGCCAUGGAAACAUUACAUCCAAUUUGCUACUUGUACCUUUAGGGCCUCUCUGCUAAAAGAAAGCUAAUGCCCAGAUAGCAGCCGUAUUAUAACUUCCAAGAGGUACAUAACUUGCAAUUACUGUCUUUGACUGUGGAUUAAUCACGAUGUAUUUGGUACUCAUGACAGACUGCCUAGCUGGGGAGCUCUUUCA